RNAcentral lists this ribosomal RNA (987 nucleotides) under Acinetobacter tjernbergiae. RNAcentral's name for it is "bacterial SSU rRNA". It matches the Rfam family "Bacterial small subunit ribosomal RNA", at positions 56 to 1036 of the family's 1533-position model. The record is from RNAcentral. Lineage: Bacteria; Pseudomonadati; Pseudomonadota; Gammaproteobacteria; Moraxellales; Moraxellaceae.
UGCAAGUCGAGCGGAGAUGAGGUGCUUGCACCUUAUCUUAGCGGCGGACGGGUGAGUAAUGCUUAGGAAUCUGCCUAUUAGUGGGGGACAACAUUCCGAAAGGAAUGCUAAUACCGCAUACGCCCUACGGGGGAAAGCAGGGGAUCUUCGGACCUUGCGCUAAUAGAUGAGCCUAAGUCGGAUUAGCUAGUUGGUGGGGUAAAGGCCUACCAAGGCGACGAUCUGUAGCGGGUCUGAGAGGAUGAUCCGCCACACUGGGACUGAGACACGGCCCAGACUCCUACGGGAGGCAGCAGUGGGGAAUAUUGGACAAUGGGCGGAAGCCUGAUCCAGCCAUGCCGCGUGUGUGAAGAAGGCCUUUUGGUUGUAAAGCACUUUAAGCGAGGAGGAGGCUACUUAGAUUAAUACUCUAGGAUAGUGGACGUUACUCGCAGAAUAAGCACCGGCUAACUCUGUGCCAGCAGCCGCGGUAAUACAGAGGGUGCGAGCGUUAAUCGGAUUUACUGGGCGUAAAGCGUGCGUAGGCGGCUGAUUAAGUCGGAUGUGAAAUCCCUGAGCUUAACUUAGGAAUUGCAUUCGAUACUGGUCAGCUAGAGUAUGGGAGAGGAUGGUAGAAUUCCAGGUGUAGCGGUGAAAUGCGUAGAGAUCUGGAGGAAUACCGAUGGCGAAGGCAGCCAUCUGGCCUAAUACUGACGCUGAGGUACGAAAGCAUGGGGAGCAAACAGGAUUAGAUACCCUGGUAGUCCAUGCCGUAAACGAUGUCUACUAGCCGUUGGGGCCUUUGAGGCUUUAGUGGCGCAGCUAACGCGAUAAGUAGACCGCCUGGGGAGUACGGUCGCAAGACUAAAACUCAAAUGAAUUGACGGGGGCCCGCACAAGCGGUGGAGCAUGUGGUUUAAUUCGAUGCAACGCGAAGAACCUUACCUGGGCCUUGACAUAGUAAGAACUUUCCAGAGAUGGAUUGGUGCCUUCGGGAACUUACAUACA